Molecule: ribosomal RNA, 872 nt
Filed under: Lactiplantibacillus plantarum
Lineage: Bacteria; Bacillati; Bacillota; Bacilli; Lactobacillales; Lactobacillaceae
Description: bacterial SSU rRNA
Rfam family: Bacterial small subunit ribosomal RNA
Source: RNAcentral
UGCAGUCGAACGAACUCUGGUAUUGAUUGGUGCUUGCAUCAUGAUUUACAUUUGAGUGAGUGGCGAACUGGUGAGUAACACGUGGGAAACCUGCCCAGAAGCGGGGGAUAACACCUGGAAACAGAUGCUAAUACCGCAUAACAACUUGGACCGCAUGGUCCGAGUUUGAAAGAUGGCUUCGGCUAUCACUUUUGGAUGGUCCCGCGGCGUAUUAGCUAGAUGGUGGGGUAACGGCUCACCAUGGCAAUGAUACGUAGCCGACCUGAGAGGGUAAUCGGCCACAUUGGGACUGAGACACGGCCCAAACUCCUACGGGAGGCAGCAGUAGGGAAUCUUCCACAAUGGACGAAAGUCUGAUGGAGCAACGCCGCGUGAGUGAAGAAGGGUUUCGGCUCGUAAAACUCUGUUGUUAAAGAAGAACAUAUCUGAGAGUAACUGUUCAGGUAUUGACGGUAUUUAACCAGAAAGCCACGGCUAACUACGUGCCAGCAGCCGCGGUAAUACGUAGGUGGCAAGCGUUGUCCGGAUUUAUUGGGCGUAAAGCGAGCGCAGGCGGUUUUUUAAGUCUGAUGUGAAAGCCUUCGGCUCAACCGAAGAAGUGCAUCGGAAACUGGGAAACUUGAGUGCAGAAGAGGACAGUGGAACUCCAUGUGUAGCGGUGAAAUGCGUAGAUAUAUGGAAGAACACCAGUGGCGAAGGCGGCUGUCUGGUCUGUAACUGACGCUGAGGCUCGAAAGUAUGGGUAGCAAACAGGAUUAGAUACCCUGGUAGUCCAUACCGUAAACGAUGAAUGCUAAGUGUUGGAGGGUUUCCGCCCUUCAGUGCUGCAGCUAACGCAUUAAGCAUUCCGCCUGGGGAGUACGGCCGCAAGG